Molecule: long non-coding RNA, 416 nt
Filed under: Olea europaea subsp. europaea
Lineage: Eukaryota; Viridiplantae; Streptophyta; Magnoliopsida; Lamiales; Oleaceae
Source: RNAcentral
GGCCUGUAAAGCCUACAUGUCUCUCCAAAAUAUGCUACAAGAUCAAGAAUAUCGGUACAGACGAAACAAGUGAAACGGACAUAGGCAAUCAUUCCCCCUCCCUGCUCUCUUAUGAAAGCGAGUGUAACCUCAGUAGUCCUCACCCAUAUCAUCCGUUUCUCGUUUUUUGCUUGCUGUCUCCUUUUUCCCCUCUCCUUCGAGGGUUUCUUUUCUUUUUUCCUUUUUCCUUUUUUUUUGCCCUUUAAAUUUUUAAUUUCUUUCUCUCUGAAACCCCUAAUUGUCUAUAUAUUUGUAAGAAGAUGCAACAGCAGAGGUUGAAGCAACAACAAGCAUUAAUGCAACAAUCUCUCUACCACCCCGGUCUUCUUGCUCCUCCUCAGGUUUCUAUUCUCUUUAAUAUUUUUAUUGGAUCGUUU